Molecule: long non-coding RNA, 419 nt
Filed under: Rattus norvegicus (Norway rat)
Lineage: Eukaryota; Metazoa; Chordata; Mammalia; Rodentia; Muridae
Description: long non-coding RNA NONRATT025217
Source: RNAcentral
CUCUCUGCCAACUGACUCAGGACGGUUUCUUUCCUGUUCAGUGUUUCACCUCAUCCCUUCUCUGACUGCAGCUGGGACAAGGGCCAAGGUGCCCUUUGAUGGGACAACGCCCACCCCAGCCCCACCCAAACCUUGGUCCAGGUCCUCCUGUCAGGGUUCAGAUGAGGAAAAAUCAAAAACAAACAAACAAAACAAAGAUACUUUUUCCUAGACUGCACAACACCUCUGCCAGCCCAGAUGAGGUUUUCAGAGGUCUGGGAGAGUACGUUCCCCAGGGAAGUGAGCCCUCAACCAUCCUCUGCAGGGACAGUUCCUUGUACCAGCACAGACCUGGGUAGCUCAAGGCCUAAGGAGCUAGAAAAUAAACUUCACCUGAAAAAGCCACAAAAGCGGCCCCAGACACUGAUUCCCACCACAAG